AUUCCAGCUCCGCAGGUGUAUAUCUAUGCUGCUGCGGUUAAAAAGCUCGUAGUUGGAUCUGCGUGCUCGGAACUGGUUGGCUCACUGAGUUCAAACUGGUCUCCGGCGCUUUAUUUGCUGGUUUUCCCUUGAUGCUCUUAACCGGGUGUCUCGGGUGGCUAGCGUGUUUACUUUGAAAAAAUUAGAGUGCUCAAUACAGGCGCAAAGCCUUGAAUAGUGGUGCAUGGAAUAAUAGAAUAGGACCUCGGCUCUAUUUUGUUGGUUUUCGGAACACGAGGUAAUGAUUAAGAGGGACAGACGGGGGCAUUCGUAUUGCGACGUUAGAGGUGAAAUUCUUGGAUCGUCGCAAGACGGACGACUGCGAAAGCAUUUGCCAAGAAUGUUUUCAUUAAUCAAGAACGAAAGUUAGAGGUUCGAAGGCGAUCAGAUACCGCCCUAGUUCUAACCGUAAACGAUGCCAACUAGCGAUUCGCAGGCGUUAAACAACGACCUUGCGGGCAGCUUCCCGGAAACGAAAGUGUUCCGGUUCCGGGGGAAGUAUGGUUGCAAAGCUGAAACUUAAAGGAAUUGACGGAAGGGCACCACCAGGAGUGGAGCCUGCGGCUUAAUUUGACCCAACACGGGAAAACUCACCCGGCCCGGACACCGUAAGGAUUGACAGAUUGAGAGCUCUUUCUUGAUUCGGUGGGUGGUGGUGCAUGGCCGUUCUUAGUUGGUGGAGCGAUUUGUCUGGUUUAUUCCGAUAACGAACGAGACUCUGGCCUACUAAAUAGUGGGCGGAUUCUUUCUGUCCGCAACACUUCUUAGAGGGACAAGCGGUGUUCAGCCGCACGAGAUUGAGCAAUAACAGGUCUGUGAUGCCCUUAGAUGUCCGGGGCUGCACGCGCGCUACACUGAAGGAAUCAGCGUGCUUUCUGACCUUGCCCGAAAGGGCUGGGUAACCCGAUGAAAAUCCUUCGUGAUUGGGAUAGGGACUUGCAAUUAUUUCCCUUGAACGAGGAAUUCCCAGUAAGUGUAGGUCAUAAGCUCGCGUUGAUUGCGUCCCUGCUCUUUGUACACACCGCCCGUCGCUGCCCGGGACUGAGCCGUUUUCGAGAAGAACAGGGACCGUCGUUGAAGGGCCCUAACGGGCUUUUCUCUGAUAGAAACUGUUUU
This 1155-nucleotide ribosomal RNA is filed under the name metagenome. RNAcentral's name for it is "SSU rRNA". It matches the Rfam family "Eukaryotic small subunit ribosomal RNA", at positions 582 to 1760 of the family's 1831-position model. The record is from RNAcentral.